AUCUACAGGCUUAACACAUGCAAGUCGAGGGGCAGCAUGGUCUUAGCUUGCUAAGGCCGAUGGCGACCGGCGCACGGGUGAGUAACACGUAUCCAACCUGCCGUCUACUCUUGGACAGCCUUCUGAAAGGAAGAUUAAUACAAGAUGGCAUCAUGAGUCCGCAUGUUCACAUGAUUAAAGGUAUUCCGGUAGACGAUGGGGAUGCGUUCCAUUAGAUAGUAGGCGGGGUAACGGCCCACCUAGUCUUCGAUGGAUAGGGGUUCUGAGAGGAAGGUCCCCCACAUUGGAACUGAGACACAGUCCAAACUCCUACGGGAGGCAGCAGUGAGGAAUAUUGGUCAAUGGGCGAGAGCCUGAACCAGCCAAGUAGCGUGAAGGAUGACUGCCCUAUGGGUUGUAAACUUCUUUUAUAAAGGAAUAAAGUCGGGUAUGGAUACCCGUUUGCAUGUACUUUAUGAAUAAGGAUCGGCUAACUCCGUGCCAGCAGCCGCGGUAAUACGGAGGAUCCGAGCGUUAUCCGGAUUUAUUGGGUUUAAAGGGAGCGUAGAUGGAUGUUUAAGUCAGUUGUGAAAGUUUGCGGCUCAACCGUAAAAUUGCAGUUGAUACUGGAUAUCUUGAGUGCAGUUGAGGCAGGCGGAAUUCGUGGUGUAGCGGUGAAAUGCUUAGAUAUCACGAAGAACUCCGAUUGCGAAGGCAGCCUGCUAAGCUGCAACUGACAUUGAGGCUCGAAAGUGUGGGUAUCAAACAGGAUUAGAUACCCUGGUAGUCCACACGGUAAACGAUGAAUACUCGCUGUUUGCGAUAUACGGCAAGCGGCCAAGCGAAAGCGUUAAGUAUUCCACCUGGGGAGUACGCCGGCAACGGUGAAACUCAAAGGAAUUGACGGGGGCCCGCACAAGCGGAGGAACAUGUGGUUUAAUUCGAUGAUACGCGAGGAACCUUACCCGGGCUUAAAUUGCAGAUGAAUUACGGUGAAAGCCGUAAGCCGCAAGGCAUCUGUGAAGGUGCUGCAUGGUUGUCGUCAACUCGUGCCGUGAGGUGUCGGCUUAAGUGCCAUAACGAGCGCAACCCUUGUUGUCAGUUACUAACAGGUUCUGCUGAGGACUCUGACAAGACUGCCAUCGUAAGAUGUGAGGAAGGUGGGGAUGACGUCAAAUCAGCACGGCCCUUACGUCCGGGGCUACACACGUGUUACAAUGGGGGGUACAGAGGGCCGCUACCACGCGAGUGGAUGCCAAUCCCAAAAACCUCUCUCAGUUCGGACUGGAGUCUGCAACCCGACUCCACGAAGCUGGAUUCGCUAGUAAUCGCGCAUCAGCCACGGCGCGGUGAAUACGUUCCCGGGCCUUGUACACACCGCCCGUCAAGCCAUGGGAGCCGGGGGUACCUGAAGUGCGUAACCGCGAGGAGCGCCCUAGGGUAAAACUGGUGACUGGGGCUAA
This 1442-nucleotide ribosomal RNA is filed under the name uncultured organism. RNAcentral describes it as "SSU rRNA". It matches the Rfam family "Bacterial small subunit ribosomal RNA". The record is from RNAcentral.